RNAcentral lists this ribosomal RNA (292 nucleotides) under uncultured bacterium. Its description in RNAcentral is "partial 16S ribosomal RNA". It matches the Rfam family "Bacterial small subunit ribosomal RNA", at positions 505 to 796 of the family's 1533-position model. The record is from RNAcentral.
GUGUCAGCCGCCGCGGUAAUACGUAGGUGACGAGCGUUAUCCGGAAUUACUGGGCGUAAAGCGCACGCAAGCGGUCUAACAAGUCUGGCGUGAAAUCCUCUGGCUUAACCAGGGGCGGUCGCUGGAGACUGUUAAACUUGAGGCGAUGAGAGGGGUGCAGAAUUCCCGGUGUAGUGGUGGAAUGCGUAGAUAUCGGGGGGAAUACCAGUGGCGAAAGCGGCACCCUGGCGUCGUACUGACGCACAUGUGCGAAAGCGUGGGGAGCGAACGGGAUUAGAUACCCGCGUAGUCC